AAAAUUAUGAUCCAAUUGAUAAUCUUUAGUACAGUUCCAACUUAUAGAAGUAAAUGUGCUUUUUCAGUGUAGCUAUUUUCAACAGCCUGGGAUGACGCCCAACAUGUCUAUCAGAAUCUUAUCCUUGUUACAAACGUGGGCUAUGGAGUAGACAAAUGCUUGAGAGACUAUGAGCUGCAACAGUUCGCACUGUCUGCCUCAUUUCAAAGACUUAUGAGCCGGAGUUUAUCGCUUAAGACGCCAUGCAGUUGCACGAAUCCACCUUCGAGAUUCCCCUCGGGUCAUAAAGUUGUGAGCUUCCAGUAUCAUGUGGCCAUGGACUUUCACAAAUCCGACCUCAACUAUGUCCUUGUAGUUCACACUGGAUCCAACGCACAGCAAAGCAUGCC
RNAcentral lists this long non-coding RNA (389 nucleotides) under Physcomitrium patens. RNAcentral describes it as "long non-coding RNA (PPAT_LNC008032)". Lineage: Eukaryota; Viridiplantae; Streptophyta; Bryopsida; Funariales; Funariaceae. The record is from RNAcentral.